GCAGAAUCCAACUCCUCCCGCCUCCUCCUCCUGAAUGCUGGGAUUAGAAGUAUAUACUUCCAUGACUGGAAAGGCUAAAGGUUUUAUUUAGUAAAAAACAAAUCAGAGUCUUUAAUUUGUCAUUUUUUUUUCCUUUAGGGUCUCAUGAAGAAGUUCAUUCGCUGUUCUACACGAGUUACUGUAGGAACUAUUAAAAAGUUUCUGAGUUUAAAACUAAAACUUCCAAGUUCUUAUGAGUUGGAUGUGCUGUGCAAUGGUGAAAUUAUGGGAAAGGAUCAUACUAUGGAAUUCAUCUAUAUGACAAGAUGGCGGCUAAGAGGAGAAAAUUUUUGCUGUCUUGAACUGUUCAGCCUCGCCAGUCUGCUCUCAGGAUGGCACUUUGUAUCAGUCCUACCCGAUGGUAUUGCAGUAUCGACCAAGAAUUGAUUUCGGGUAGGCCCAGGCCCAGGCCUCGGCUGCACUGAAUGAAUCCUGCACUAUUUGUUUACUCGUCGACAGAUUGCACAGUGAAUGGUGUGUGGACUCGAGAGACACAAUCUGAUUUCAGCAUGCACAUAAGGCCAUUGUCUGUCUCAACUGUCAGUGUCCUUCAUGUUGUUUCUAUUAGGAGCCAUCCAAGUGCCCUUCCGCCACUGACCAUCUGCACAUAUUCAUGCUGUCUCAGUGUGCAAGGCACGGCCGGAGCGAGUGAGGUCCAGCCGCGACUCUGCUUUCUCAGUGUUUUGCUUGCCUGUUGCAAGGUUGUUCUAAUGUUAAUUACACUAGUAAAAUGGCUCAAUCCUUGUGGUGUUGCAGUUUUCACAUACUUAAUACUUUUAUUCUUAUUAAAAUAGAGUACUGUACAAGAACCUAGUAUAAUUAUAUCUUGAAAUUAUUUUGUAUAAGAAUAUAUUUAGAAAAGUGGUUUCUGAGCCACUGUCCUAUUCUUGGUAAACUUUUAUGUAAAAAAGAAUAAACAACCAAAAAAAAAAAAAAACCAAAAUGCCAGC
Molecule: long non-coding RNA, 989 nt
Filed under: Rattus norvegicus (Norway rat)
Lineage: Eukaryota; Metazoa; Chordata; Mammalia; Rodentia; Muridae
Description: long non-coding RNA NONRATT001691
Source: RNAcentral